RNAcentral lists this ribosomal RNA (403 nucleotides) under uncultured bacterium. Its description in RNAcentral is "partial 16S ribosomal RNA". It matches the Rfam family "Bacterial small subunit ribosomal RNA", at positions 30 to 526 of the family's 1533-position model. The record is from RNAcentral.
AUUGAACGCUGGCGGCAGGCCUAACACAUGCAAGUCGAGCGAGCGGCGGACGGGUGAGUAAUGUCUGGGGACUGCCCGAUGGAGGGGGAUAACUACUGGAAACGGUAGCUAAUACCGCAUACUGUCAUAUUGCCCAUAUGGGAUUAGCUCGUAGGUAAGGUAAUGGCUUACCUAGGCGACGAUCCCUAGCUGGUCUGAGAGGAUGAUCAGCCACACUGGGACUGAGACACGGCCCAGACUCCUACGGAGGCAGCAGUGGGGAAUAUUGCACAAUGGGCGCAAGCCUGAUGCAGCCAUGCCGCGUGUGUGAAGAAGGCCUUAGGGUUGUAAAGUACUUUCAGCCGGGAGGCGUUACCGACAGAAGAAGCACCGGCUAACUCCGUGCCAGCAGCCGCGGUAAUAC